This 253-nucleotide ribosomal RNA is filed under the name uncultured bacterium. RNAcentral describes it as "partial 16S ribosomal RNA". It matches the Rfam family "Bacterial small subunit ribosomal RNA", at positions 524 to 776 of the family's 1533-position model. The record is from RNAcentral.
UACGUAGGUGGCAAGCGUUGUCCGGAUUUACUGGGCGUAAAGGGCGCGUAGGCGGCCGCCUAAGUCAGACGUGAAAUCCCUCGGCUCAACCGGGGAACUGCGUCUGAUACUGGGUGGCUUGAAUCCGGGAGAGGGAUGCGGAAUUCCAGGUGUAGCGGUGAAAUGCGUAGAUAUCUGGAGGAACACCGGUGGCGAAGGCGGCAUCCUGGACCGGCAUUGACGCUGAGGCGCGAAAGCCAGGGGAGCAAACGGG